RNAcentral lists this ribosomal RNA (493 nucleotides) under uncultured bacterium. Its description in RNAcentral is "partial 16S ribosomal RNA". It matches the Rfam family "Bacterial small subunit ribosomal RNA", at positions 28 to 507 of the family's 1533-position model. The record is from RNAcentral.
GACGAACGCUGGCGGCGUGCUUAACACAUGCAAGUCGAACGGUGAAGGGACCGGUUUUUGCUGGUUCUGGAUGAGUGGCGAACGGGUGAGUAACACGUGAGUAACCUGCCCCCUUCUUCUGGAUAACCGCAUGAAAGUGUGGCUAAUACGGGAUAUUCUGCGCCUGCUGCAUGGUGGGUGUGGGAAAGAUAUUGUUUCGGUGGGGGAUGGGCUCGCGGCCUAUCAGCUUGUUGGUGGGGUGAUGGCCUACCAAGGCGGUGACGGGUAGCCGGCCUGAGAGGGUGGACGGUCACACUGGGACUGAGACACGGCACAGACUCCUACGGGAGGCAGCAGUGGGGAAUAUUGCACAAUGGGCGCAAGCCUGAUGCAGCGACGCCGCGUGAGGGAUGGAGGCCUUCGGGUUGUAAACCUCCUUCGCCAGUGAAGCAGGCCUGUCCCUUUUGUGGGUGGGUUGACGGUAGCUGGAGAAGAAGCGCCGGCUAACUACGUG